Molecule: long non-coding RNA, 626 nt
Filed under: Phoenix dactylifera (date palm)
Lineage: Eukaryota; Viridiplantae; Streptophyta; Magnoliopsida; Arecales; Arecaceae
Description: long non-coding RNA (PDAC_LNC019623)
Source: RNAcentral
AGAGAGAGUAUGCAGUCCCCCACAAAGGCUACAGGCAGUUUUGGCUUGUUUUUGGUAUUUGUAGAUUUAUGUCAUGUAUGUUAGCAGAAGUUGUAAUAUAUGGUCCUUACACUUUUUAUAGUUCCAUGUGCUUGAGCUGCUACUAAAUUUAUUACUAGAUUUUUAACUGAGUUGGUGGGGGAUUGUAGAGGCAUUGUAAUUCGGUUAUUUAUAUAGUUUUAUUCGUUGUCUUAUCUUUUCUGAUUUCAUAUUAUUACUUUGUGAUUUCUUUUUUUGUAGCUGAGAUAGAGGAAUCCUUCCAAUAAUCAUAUGGGAAUACUGUCUUAAAUUUGAAAAUGUUUUGAAAUGCAUUUUUAAAGUAGAUGUGGUUGAUAGAGCAAUCUUUAACCAUAAUUUCCAAGUACUGUGCUGAAUGCGAACCUUGUGAUGGGCUCCACUUGAGUAGAUCUUCAAUGAGAUCCGGUCAAGUCUAGAUUGGAUGAUGUAGGUUUCAUAUGGGUGAUCGGAGCUGUUAAAUGUGAUCUGCUAUCUCUGAACAGCAUAUAUAUCAAAAAAUCAUAUAAUUUGGAGACUGCUAGCCUAUGCAUCAAGUGAUCGAAAUAUACAUACAUACAUAUACAUAUAUA